RNAcentral lists this ribosomal RNA (459 nucleotides) under uncultured bacterium. RNAcentral describes it as "partial 16S ribosomal RNA". It matches the Rfam family "Bacterial small subunit ribosomal RNA", at positions 338 to 795 of the family's 1533-position model. The record is from RNAcentral.
CCUACGAGCGGCAGCAGUGAGGAAUAUUGGUCAAUGGCCGCAGGGCUGAACCAGCCAAGUCGCGUGAGGGAUGACGGUCCUAUGGAUUGUCAACCUCUUUUGUCAGGGAGCAAAGGGCGCCACGUGUGGCGUUUUGCCAGUACCUGAAGAAAAAGCAUCGGCUAACUCCGUGCCGGCAUCCGCGGUAAUACGGAGGAUGCGGGCGUUAUCCGGCUUUAUUGGGUUUAAAGGGUGCGCAGGCGGAAUGUCCAGUAAGCGGUAAAAUGUCGGGGCUAAACCCCGUCGUGCCGUGGAAACUGGCGUUCUUGAGUGAGCGGGAAGUAUGCGGAAUGCGUGGUGUAGCGGUGAAAUGCAUAGAUAUCACGCAGAACUCCGAUUGCGAAGGCAGCAUACCGGCGCUCAACUGACGCUCAUGCACGAAGGCGUGGGUAUCGAACAGGAUUAGAUACCCCAGUAGUC